GCUAAGGUCCCCAAGUCCGUGCUAAGUUGAACAAAGGUGGUCCAGUUGCUUAGACAGCCAGGAGGUUAGCUUGGAAGCAGCUAUUCAUUUAAAGAGUGCGUAACAGCUCACUGGUCGAGCGACAGGGCAUCGAUGAUGAUCGGGCAUUAAGUAUAGUACCGAAGCUAAGGAUUUCAGUUUACUGAAAUGGUAGGGGAGCAUUCUAUUCCGCGAUGAAGCAGUCUGGUAAUGGAUUGUGGAGCGUAUAGAAAAGCAAAUGUAGGAAUAAGUAACGAUAAAGCAGGCGAGAAACCUGCUCACCAAUAGACUAAGGUUUCCUUGGCGACGCUAAUCGUCCAAGGGUUAGUCGGGACCUAACGCGAACCCGAGAGGGGUAGUGGAUGG
RNAcentral lists this ribosomal RNA (384 nucleotides) under Heterosigma akashiwo. RNAcentral describes it as "partial Bacterial large subunit ribosomal RNA". It matches the Rfam family "Bacterial large subunit ribosomal RNA", at positions 1038 to 1421 of the family's 2925-position model. Lineage: Eukaryota; Raphidophyceae; Chattonellales; Chattonellaceae. The record is from RNAcentral.